AACCUUUUCAUUAGCUUUGGCUGCACGUUUCUGGAUAAUGUCAAUAUCAAUAUUUGUAAGUACUCUUAUGAACUCAUAUGAUGCAUCUCCCACUUUUUUUUAUCUGCAAGGUACCUGACAUAGUGUUUGGACAGACUUAUUUCUGGUAGUAACUUCUCCAUUGUGAAACUACUUUCCACUACAGUAGCUUGCGGACAAUGUGGGCUACUACAAGACCGAGACCUGCAUAGAUGAUUACAUUUAGGAGUGAAUGGUAAAGAAGGUUCUGAUUUUGUUUAAAUUACAGUAUAUGUUUGAAAAUUAUUUAUUGAUGCUCAAAGAAUAUCCUGUAGAUGAUUAUGUGGAAAAUAGUUCAUCCUUCACAGUUUUCUCGGCAAGCUGGAACUUCCAGUUAUACUGGUUGUAUAUUUAUGGGUUAUAGACUUAUAGUUGAAAUUUUCAAAUGAUUAGAUAUUUUUGUAGUUGUAGUUGGAUAUACAAGUGCCUAAAAACUGAAGUCGGCACUUCUUCACUAGAAGCUAUGUUCACUAGCUUGAUUUCUCCUAUGAGAUGUAGAAUUUUUAUUUCCGCUAGAUUGUUGUAGUUUCCUUUUUUGCUGUAGCUGCUUAUCUAUCAGAGUAUCUAUGCAUGUGUGGGUUUAUGUUUCACUAACUGCCCUAUAAAUAAUCUGAAUUUCUUUCAAUCGAUUGAUUGUUUUGUAAUUUUCAAUCCAUGUCCCACAGCAUAGUUCCUCGACACCGGGUCAAUCCUGGUUUAUGAAAAAAUCAGGACUCUGAACCAUGCAGUCUACUCAUAGUGAACCACAUGUCUGAACCAUGCAUUCUUAACCCGGUCAACCAUGUUUUGCCCGUGGUGAACCAUGGGGUCUGAACCAUGCUGCCUGAACCAAAUCGACCGUAUAUCUCCGUAGGUCGUUGAAAUAUGAGUCGGACCAUGUCUUAAGAUUGUGGAAAUGUGAGACGAACUAGGAAGUGAGAACUAUGAAAAAAAAUCACAUCAGGAGCACAGUCGUGGAUAGUGAUCAACAUAUUAUUAUUCUAGGUGACCCAAUAUUCUUGGUUAUAAUGAAGGACUAAAGAGGGUCCAAUUUAUGUGCAGGUGAAGAAAAUCACCAAAAUGGAAGGAGUUCUGUAUUAUGAUCUAUUACAAUGUGCUUGAAGCAAUACAGAACCAUGAUUAUACUUGGUAUAGUACAAACUAAAUGUACAAUACAGACUUCCAAGUAGAAUCUUUGGCCUACAGCUCACCUGUUAUCUGUCACUUUAGCAGUUACUUGGGUGGGACAACCAAUGUAUAGAUAAGAAAUGCCGAAAC
This 1314-nucleotide long non-coding RNA is filed under the name Triticum aestivum (bread wheat). Its description in RNAcentral is "long non-coding RNA (TAES_LNC006225)". The record is from RNAcentral. Lineage: Eukaryota; Viridiplantae; Streptophyta; Magnoliopsida; Poales; Poaceae.